GGGAUCUCUGGCAUGACGUGACACUUCCUACGGCUCCCAUGGGCUCUCAGAAGGCGGGAAAAAGCUGAAUGAUGUAAUUCCAUCCCCAGGCUGAAACACAUUAGCGCGUUUGGCAAGUGCUCUAUCAGAGGGCCAUUAGACUGAGGCUCGUGCAUGAGGGAAUAGCAUGCUUUUACUUUCACUCUCUUUGUAAUAAAAAACGAUUUCCCGGUUGGAAUAUUAUCUCUUUUUUACGAGAAAAAUGGCAUAAAAAUUUAUUUUAAACAGCGGUUGACAUGCUUCGAAGUACGGUAAUGGAAUAUUUAGAAUUUUUUUGUCACGAAAUGCGCCGUGCUCGUAACCCUUAUUUACCCUUUCGGAUAGUGUCUUGAACGCACAAACAAAACGCCGCUAUUUGGAUAUAACAAUGGAUUAUUUGGGACCAAACCAACAUUUGUUAUUGAAGUAGAAGUCCUGGGAGUGCAUUCUGAUGAAGACAGCAAAAACAACAUCUGUAAGGUUCCUCAAUCAAGUAUUGAAUUUCAAGCUCAGAUUCAAGUACACAGACCAGGGAGCUUUUUCAAAAGCUGCAUAAAGAAGAGCAGCCAUUGGUAGAUGGGUGACAAUAACAAAUCAGACAUUUAAUAUCUCUUUAAACAUGGUCAAGUUAAUAAUUAUGCUGUGGAUUAUGUAUUAAACCACCCAGAAGCAUCAAAGAUACAGUCAUCCUUCUGAACUGAGCUGCAUUACAAGAAUGAAACUGCUCAGGGAUGUUCUCAUGAGGCCAGUGAUGAGUUUAAAACAGCUACAGAGUUCAAUGGCUGUGAUGGG
Molecule: long non-coding RNA, 810 nt
Filed under: Salmo salar (Atlantic salmon)
Lineage: Eukaryota; Metazoa; Chordata; Actinopteri; Salmoniformes; Salmonidae
Description: lncRNA (ENSSSAG00000085992.1)
Source: RNAcentral